Molecule: ribosomal RNA, 433 nt
Filed under: uncultured bacterium
Lineage: Bacteria
Description: partial 16S ribosomal RNA
Rfam family: Bacterial small subunit ribosomal RNA
Source: RNAcentral
AACGAACGCUGGCGGCAUGCCUAACACAUGCAAGUCGAACGAGACCUUCGGGUCUAGUGGCGCACGGGUGCGUAACGCGUGGGAACCUGCCUUUAGGUUCGGAAUAACUCAGAGAAAUUUGAGCUAAUACCGGAUGAUGUCUUCGAACCAAAGAUUUAUCGCCUUUAGAUGGGCCCGCGUUGGAUUAGCUAGUUGGUGGGGUAAAGGCCUACCAAGGCGACGAUCCAUAGCUGGUCUGAGAGGAUGAUCAGCCACACUGGGACUGAGACACGGCCCAGACUCCUACGGGAGGCAGCAGUGGGGAAUAUUGGACAAUGGGCGAAAGCCUGAUCCAGCAAUGCCGCGUGAGUGAUGAAGGCCUUAGGGUUGUAAAGCUCUUUUACCCGAGAUGAUAAUGACAGUAUCGGGAGAAUAAGCGCCGGCUAACUCCGUG